GAAGCCAGCGUUGGAUGGACCCCAGGGCUCUCUCCUCGUCGUGCCCAGCACUACACAGGGAGCCUAGUGAGUGGCCACUGACCACCGUCCUGUCCCCAGCGAGCCAACAGUGAUGACGUGUGCCAUCUGCGUGGCAGGCCCUGGUCCAGCUGGGGCAUUUGCCACCGAGACAAGGAUCCCUGCCCUCUGGGGCUGAUGUCCUCAUGGGAGGAGAGGUCUGAUGUGACAGGUGACGGGAAGAAGAGCCAGCUGACCCCAGGCCUGAAAACUGCCACGCCCAGCGGAGCCCCAGGAGGAGCCUCCCGCGCUGGGCUUCUCGUCCAGCUGUCCCCGUGCCAUCUGCUGCCCACCAGGGAUCAGGAUGGCAGAGCCAGGGCCCAGGAGGAGCGCCACACCCGGCCGCCAGGAAAGUAACUGCUGCCCAGGAAGAACACUCCGAAGGGGCGAGCGAAGGCCCUGAGGCAUAAAGCCGGCCUCUAGGGAACUGUCCGGGCAGCGGGGGUUGGACAAGAGGGCACUCGGGAGGUGGGAGAUCAGAGAGAAGCCACAGGAAGAGGAACAAGAAAACGAGGGUCUGCUCAGAGCAGAGGAAUUGGAGAAGGAAAUGGGAGCCGCUAAGGGUUUUCACAGAGUGACUCACCCUGGUUCCUGCUUUGGAGCGACCAGCUGGGAAGCUGGAGGACAAGAGGGUGCGGAGGUGCCUGUAGCCCCUGCUGAUUCUUUAAGUGCCUCGUCCUCUACUCACUUUAGAAACAGGGCGAGGAGGGACAUCGGGACCGCGGGAGAACCUGGGCCGCCAGCCCCUGGCGUCACGGCAUCUAAGCACACGAGGCCCGAGGCCCGUCACCCGCGCUCUGCUCUGCCGCGAAGGGCAGAGGGGAGAGACCAGAGAGGCACGGGGACAGGCACAGGGACGGGUGGGAGAGCCCAGAGCUGAUUGGUGGAGGCAGGAAUCGCGUUGAUCUUCCUGUGGGUCCUUUAGCAGCAGCUGGGUGUUAAUGGAAAGAGCACCAGCUUCACAUCAGAGCAGAAUUAGAGCUACAGCUGUGUGUUGUUAGGCAAGGUACUUACCCUCUCUGUUCCUCAGCUUCCCAGUUUAUCAAAUGAGACUGUUACCAACUUUACCAACGUUUGUGGAUUAAGAUACAUAGCAAAUGUCCAAUGCACGGAGGCGAUCUCAGAUUUUCUGUAAUAAUAUAACUUAUUACUUUUUUUAUUACAUAAAAGUAGUGUAUGCUUGACCGCAAACGAAAGAAGAAGAAAGAAAAAGAAAAUCGAGAAAAGUCUAAAGAAUCAAAUGAGCGUCACUGGAAGCCUCUCGGGGGCCUGGCGCCCACUCAGGGCCCUGGCUUCCGUCUUCCCUCUGCGAAUGAAACAUGUGGAUGCUCUGAAACCAGAAAGCCAAGGUGCAUGUCAGGUCACCGGUGGAAGUCCGUCGUCACUCAGGGACACCUG
Non-coding RNA from Marmota flaviventris (yellow-bellied marmot), 1455 nucleotides. The record is from RefSeq and is a predicted model, not a curated record. Lineage: Eukaryota; Metazoa; Chordata; Mammalia; Rodentia; Sciuridae.